GGGGACGUGGCGGAACGGUAGACGCGCCGGACUUAAAAUCCGUUGGAGCAAUCCGUGUGGGUUCGAGUCCCACCGUCCCUACCA
Molecule: transfer RNA, 84 nt
Filed under: Caulobacter sp.
Lineage: Bacteria; Pseudomonadati; Pseudomonadota; Alphaproteobacteria; Caulobacterales; Caulobacteraceae
Also listed under: 2 other names
Description: tRNA-Leu
Rfam family: tRNA
About the family: Transfer RNA (tRNA) molecules are approximately 80 nucleotides in length.
Source: RNAcentral